Molecule: ribosomal RNA, 620 nt
Filed under: uncultured bacterium
Lineage: Bacteria
Description: bacterial SSU rRNA
Rfam family: Bacterial small subunit ribosomal RNA
Source: RNAcentral
CCUACGGGAGGCAGCAGUGGGGAAUUUUGGACAAUGGGCGCAAGCCUGAUCCAGCCAUGCCGCGUGCGGGAAGAAGGCCUUCGGGUUGUAAACCGCUUUUGUCAGGGAAGAAAUCCUUUGGGCUAAUACCUCGGAGGGAUGACGGUACCUGAAGAAUAAGCACCGGCUAACUACGUGCCAGCAGCCGCGGUAAUACGUAGGGUGCGAGCGUUAAUCGGAAUUACUGGGCGUAAAGCGUGCGCAGGCGGUUAUGCAAGACAGAUGUGAAAUCCCCGGGCUUAACCUGGGAACUGCAUUUGUGACUGCAUAGCUCGAGUACGGCAGAGGGGGAUGGAAUUCCGCGUGUAGCAGUGAAAUGCGUAGAUAUGCGGAGGAACACCGAUGGCGAAGGCAAUCCCCUGGGCCUGUACUGACGCUCAUGCACGAAAGCGUGGGGAGCAAACAGGAUUAGAUACCCUGGUAGUCCACGCCCUAAACGAUGUCAACUGGUUGUUGGACGGCUUGCUGUUCAGUAACGAAGCUAACGCGUGAAGUUGACCGCCUGGGGAGUCGGCCGCAAGGUUGAAACUUAAGAGUAGUCGGACGNGNGAGAGACGACGACGACGACGAGGAGGGAGGAG